UGGUGGGGUGACUUGUCUGCUUGAUUGCGAUAACGAACGAGACCUUAACCUGCUAAAUAGCCCGCAUUGCUCCGGCAGUGCGCUGGCUUCUUAGAGGGACUUUCGGCUCAAGCCGAAGGAAGUUUGAGGCAAUAACA
This 137-nucleotide ribosomal RNA is filed under the name uncultured eukaryote. RNAcentral's name for it is "partial 18S ribosomal RNA". It matches the Rfam family "Eukaryotic small subunit ribosomal RNA", at positions 1299 to 1458 of the family's 1831-position model. The record is from RNAcentral.